AAAGAAAUAAUCGAAACUUUUCACUUCCUUUAUUGGAUCCCUUGGCUGAGAGGAAUUCGACCGAGGUUAAAGACUUCGCUGGUUCAACAGCACUUUCAUUCCGCUCUCCUAUAAAGCUAUCUCCAUCCGCUCCCUCAGUUUCAUCUUUAUCUGCAUCUCCUUUAUCAUCACGUGGCCAGCUGCCUCCUGCUAGCUUUACUCCAUGUUUGCCUCACCAUUCUUCAGCGCACCAACUUGGACAGCAAGUUUCUGAUGGCCGUGUACCAGGGCUGAAGUCACCUACAUUUUCAAUUUCCGAAGAAUCAUCUUCCUUUGUGCUCCUCCCUGGUUGGAGUAAUGAUUCAACUAGGGGCUCUCAUGGUGGAUCAUCAGAUGGUUGGUCAGCUCCUGGCUUUGCUGACCUGGCAAAUCCUCGUCGAGAUAGGUGGUCAUUUGAUAGUG
Molecule: unclassified non-coding RNA, 441 nt
Filed under: Hevea brasiliensis (rubber tree)
Lineage: Eukaryota; Viridiplantae; Streptophyta; Magnoliopsida; Malpighiales; Euphorbiaceae
Source: RNAcentral